RNAcentral lists this ribosomal RNA (253 nucleotides) under uncultured bacterium. RNAcentral describes it as "partial 16S ribosomal RNA". It matches the Rfam family "Bacterial small subunit ribosomal RNA", at positions 524 to 776 of the family's 1533-position model. The record is from RNAcentral.
UACGGAGGAUCCAAGCGUUAUCCGGAUUCAUUGGGUUUAAAGGGUGCGUAGGCGGACUGAUAAGUCAGCGGUGAAAUCUCUCAGCUUAACUGAGAAACUGCCGUUGAUACUGUCAGUCUUGAGUACAGAUGAUGUGGGCGGAAUAUGACAUGUAGUGGUGAAAUACUUAGAUAUGUCAUAGAACACCGAUUGCGAAGGCAGCUCACAAAACUGUCACUGACGCUGAGGCACGAAAGCGUGGGGAUCAAACGGG